This 7137-nucleotide long non-coding RNA is filed under the name Sus scrofa (pig). RNAcentral's name for it is "lncRNA (ENSSSCG00035066158.1)". Lineage: Eukaryota; Metazoa; Chordata; Mammalia; Artiodactyla; Suidae. The record is from RNAcentral.
UAUGUAACUGGGUUUCUUGAAUUCACAAUUGUGAAGGCCACAAUUGUAGGAGCAGGCCUGUCCCCUGCUCUGUGGUGGGAGGGAAGCAGGCUCCUAUGUCCCAUCUAGGUGCCCAGGGAGCCGGCUCCAAAUGACCCCUCCUGAUGAGGCCACCAGCUGCCGCUCAGGAGGAAGGGGCCGGGCUCCUACCGACACUGCCAAGGCGCCCAGUUUCUGUGUUGAGUUGCGCUUUCGGACGUUGAUGAUAAAAAAAAAAAAAGGCAGUAAGUGCAUUAGAUAUAUCUUCCUCUCUACAGCAGUGCACCAUUUUAUUUUUAAAAAUGAUUUUUAUUUUUUCCAUUAUAGUGGGUUUACAGUGUUCUGUCAACUUCUACUGUACAGCAAACUGACGCAGUCACACAUACAUUAUAUAUAUAUUUUUUCUCACAUUGUCUUCCAUCAUAAAUGAGUAGAUCUGGUUCCCAGUGCUAUACAGCAGGGCCUCAUUGCUUAUCCACGCAGAGCGUCAGGGAGAGCUUCUUGGGGCAAGCUGAGCUCUGAAGAUAGCCUAGCAGUGGAUCCCUUUGAAGGCGACCUUCCGUUUUGGUGACUUGGCCAUAGCCCCUGAUCAAGCGGGCGGGAGCUGUGAAAGCACAGGCUUUCCCCAGCCUGCCUCCCAGGUUCAUCUCCAGCAGCCUUGUCUGCGAGCCCUGAGCUGCGGCCACACCCAGGAGCUCCAGGGACGCCUCCCCCACCUGCUCAUUCCCGACCAUCCAGAUCCUCAGACCCAGCUGUGCUCUCCCUGCUUCUGGAAACCCCUCUUCAGGGAGUCUCCUGCCACCCGUCCCUCAGUGAUUAGCGCGUCCCCUUUCCCGGGUUCUCAUAAUUCUGUGUGUUUAAGUCCUGCAAGCACCCGCCCACACACUCUCCUGGUCUCUUUGCAGACCUGCCUCCCUCGCUGGAGUGUUCCCCUUAUGAGGGUGGAGGCCUCUUUAUCUUGCAUGUUCAGCUGUAAGGCGGCUUUAUAAUGUCCGUGUAAUAAGAAUCUCAUUCCUGGAUUCCAGGUGGCUGUAAAGAAGCUUUAGAAUCACUAAGCUCGCUUUGCAGAUACAGGCUGAGACUGUGCUUCCUUGCACUUGGGAUGGUGUUGCUGUUGUGUAUUUAAGCUGGAUGUGCCGACAGGCUUGACUCUGACUCUGCGGCGACUCUACCUGUCCGGGCAGUUUCUCAGUCUGUCCGAGGCAAUUUGCAGUUCCUCUUGGAGAGGAAGGGGCAUGAGAACAAAUUCUCAAAGAUGGGCUCACUCACUGGUGUCCUCAGCUGGAGACUGAGGACAGGGGAUGAUGAUGAUGCUGAUGACGUGGGUGACGAUGCCGAUGAUGCUGAUACGUUGAUGAGGAUGAAAGGAUGACGCUGAUAUUGGUGAUGACGAUGCUGGCGAUGCGAUGAGGAUGUCGCUAGCCUGAGUGGUUGUUUCCGGGGGGCUUAACAACUUUCCAUUUCUUUUCUUUUCUUGCUCACACUACAGAAGAUAGAACAUAGGCAUGAUUAGCGUCUUAAAAAACCCCCGUACAUGGUUCACGUAUACAACUGAGUGAGUGUGGGGAAGAAUGUACCCCUCCGAACCCCUGACCACCGCCGUCAAGGCCAUGGACAUAGCCGUCACUUCCCAAAGUUUUCUCCCACUCUGUUUAUUAGUGUUAUUGUCAUAUUAUUGUUACUGUAUGAACACUUAACCUUUGAUCUUCCCUCUUAGAACAUAGUAAGUGCAGUAUCGCUAGCUGUGGACACUGUGCUGUGUAGCAGAGCUCCAGAAAUCCUUGGUCUUGCGUCAAACUUACCCCUCCCCCAAGCUCCAGGCGACUACCAUUCUGCUCUCUGCUUCUGAAUUGGACGCUUGAAGUCACCCGUCAUAGGGAGGCAAACACUGGUGCCCAAAGCGCCCUAUUCAGGUGUCCACACAGCCGUCUCAACACCACUUCCUGCUGUUCCUCGUGUGUAAGCACCUGCACCACUACCUUCACAAGCACCCAUGCGUAGAUGCUUGCAGAGUUGGGCGUGUUCCGUGUGCUUGUGUGCACGUGGGUAGGUGUGUUCUUGGGCAUAUCUGGUCUUGGCUCUUCACAUUAGAAUGGCUGUCGUGUGCUCUGUGUAUGCAUGUGUCCCCUCAACUUGGAAAAGCAUCAGGGCCCCAACUGGGCUGUUGUUAAUAGGGCAAAAGGUUCCCUGAGGGGCGGACGCCCACCCCGGUUCCCUCCUUCCUUGUCCACUUUGGAGUAAGAGUACCUUCGACCAAGUGUACCUUGAGUGGGGUGGGCGCCCUAGCCGUACACCAAGCGGUGUGGCAGAGAGAGCUGCAGAAUAUCGGGAGGUAAACUUCCAGCAGUGAAGACUUCCUGUUCAGUGGUAAAUGUGCAUUUCAACACUGCCUGUCAUUUUUAAUCUCAGGCCCUUCACACCAUCACCUCCUAGGAGCAGACUCUCUGUAGGGCCUCCUUCCAGCCAGGCAACACCCAGGCUCAGGAGCCCAUUGUAGACUCCAGGGCCCAGAGGCAAGUAUGGGUGUGGAUGCAGCCGCCUGGUGAUGUAUGCAAAUUUCACUGUCAGGGUAGCUCAAAUGCAGUCCCAGGAUAGUGCCAAGGGGCAUUUUGUGUUACCAGGCCAUGGGCGGUGUCCCCUGAGACAGGAAUCCUCCAGGUAGGAGGUGGGCCUGCUGAGUGGCUUGUUCAGUCCUAUUAAAGGUGAGAAUGCACUGAAGGCAGCUGACAAGUUGGAGAAGCCCCUGUUUGUCUCCCAAAGACAAACAGUUGACAGUUCAAAGAGAGAAGCAGGCUUCCUGGAAGUUGCCAUCGCUGCUUCCAGCCCCUGACUCAGGGCACAGAAACCUGGCAGGGGUGCAUUUUUUUUUUUUUUUCUUCAUUGUCAGAAAGUCAGUUGCUUACUCCCAGAGUUUAUUUUGUUUUAGUUCACCUUAUUUUAUUCAGAUUUUCAAGUUAGCAUUCUUUAGCGGUUAUUAUUAUUAUAAUCCAUGACCUCAUGGAUCCUAGGAAAUACCUAUGUGUUACACAUUUGUUUCUGUCCCUCGUACCUGCUCAUCUUACCUGAGUUUGUAUAAAAUCUUCCUACUUUGUCGAAAGUCCCUAUCUGAGUUAGACGCACACAGCCCCCCUUAUAGCACCAAGCAAAAUCCAGAAGGAGUUUUCUAAUGUUUGCUGUGGGUCUGGAGCAUGAAAAGCCUUUUUGUUCUACCCAGAAAGACACUGAACUGGGGUCUGGCCACAUGCCUGAGGCCACUCGGUAAGUAGCGUAAGGAGAGCCAAGAACCUCGAUGUGAUGGGCAAAAAUGCCCAGUAAAAGUUCCAACUUGUAAACUUUGGCAGACCGCUGGGUGGUACGAAACGGACCAUCCAGAAUGGAGGAUCCGUUCGGAGAGCAGAGGGUCAGAAAUGAGCCUCCAGUCUUUCUAAGUCAAUCGAAUGAAUGUCAGGUACGGAAGGUAGUAAGGGCCAGUAAUCUAGAUAUGCGUUUUUGAAGUUCUGAAACAGUGCUUUUUCAUGACAUAAAUCCACAGGCAAAAUAGCCAGGAUGUAUGAAGAAGGGAUUUUUUUUUUUUAAACUUUUGUAUUUACGUCACAUGGAUAUAACCUAGGCUUCCUUCCAGUCUGUUUUCUCCUCUCCUAAAGAUAGAUACUGCAGGAGGAGGAGGGCUGGGGUCUCAGCUGACUGUGUGACAGUGGAGUUCGUGUCUGUUUAAGCCACCCAGUUGGUGAUACUUUGUUAUAGCAGCUCUGGGAAGCUGAUAUAGUUGGAUUCUUGUUUCCAACCCUUUGUGAGCACUGGUUGGUGUGGUUUGAUGUGGCUUUUGAUAGAAAGACCACAGGUCAUAAGACAUAGACAUUUGGGAUUCGUGAGAUAAGAGGCUUCCUAGGGCCCAAGGAGAACAGCUCCUGUGACCGACUGAGUGCUCUGUGUGUGGCUCCCUGUUCCUCCUCCUGGGCAUGCUGGGGGGCUUCCCAGGCUCCUUCAGAAUGAAGUUGGUAACAGCAGCCUGCUGCCAGGCUUCCAGAGUCUCUAUCUCGAUUUCUCUUUUUCUGCCACAGUGACCUUGAAGGCACCGUGUUCCGUGUGCUCAGUACAUUAAGAAGGUGAGCCAUCUAUUCCCAUCAGUCUCUGUAAGCCUGAGAAAUAAACAUUCUUUGUGUUAUGCUUGAUUGUUGGUCUUCAUUUGUAAUUUCAGAAAGCGCUAUCCUCUCCUCUGACCCCAGCAGGGAUUGUUCCCAAAAGGAUUAGAGGGGGUAUUCGGGGAACUGAGAUUGUAGCAUCGCUGACCUUGCAGAGGCCGACUUUUCAAAGAGGUCCACACUCUCCUCCCACUCAUUCCGUUGCAGCUUGGAGAAAAUCUAAUUAAACCAAGUGCAGUCCUGGUGGGCUUGAGCUCAAGAGCAAGAAAUGCUUCCAUUUUCACACAUAGCGGCUGUAUGACCCUCGGCAGAUUGCCUCUGUGCUCAGAACCUCAGUUUGUUCGUGUGUAAAGUGGGAAGCAGCAGCUCCCUCGCAGACCUGUUUCCAGGUUAAACGGAAUGAGUUACGUCAUGGCGAUUGAUAGCAGCCAUCCACUGAUAAAUCAUUAAGCAUCAGCUUGAUUAUGCACUUCCCUUACUUUAUCAAGAAGGCUACUGUCUUUGGUGGUCAGGAUGGGCUUCUCUCCCUGGUGCUUCAGAAUCUUUGUAUUCUCAACAGACACCUAACAAACCCAUGAACUUCCUGUGUGGCUACACACCUCUCCCUUAAAAUGGGCAGCGGGAACAUUGCCUGUGGACUAGGGUUUCCAGAUUUUGUCCUCUAGACAGGGAGGUUUGGUUUUGCUGUACAAAUUAGGGGCUUGGUACCAGACUUUAGAUUACAUUUUAGAAUAAUGCCAUUGCUUAUUAUGUCCAAAAAAGGAGGAUGCGAUAGCAUUGUGUUUAAAUAAAACUCCUCUUAAUUACAAGAGUGUGUGAGCAUUUCUGAGGGAGAAACAAGUGACAUUUCGGUUUACGUAAUCAACAUCUGUGUUUAACAUUCUCUUUUUAAUGGUGUGUAUUUCACCCUUGGCUGUGCCCUCUUCCUUGUACCCAGAACUAAGAAAUCAUAAUUUCUGUAGUGGGGGUCCCCGGCACACGUGUUUUUUGACGACCCUGAAGUGAUUCCAGUGAAACUCUCCUUUGGGGAAAACUUGAUCAAAGACGCAUAAUUACAGUUGUUACCGUGCUAGGGGUGCAAAUGACACGAAGUCUUCCAGGGUUUUCCGAGGCGCGCCGUUGUAAAGGGAUGCUCGUUCUCAUUGUCUCCAUUUUUCAAAUACGGAAACAGAGUCUCAGAAUUGAAAAGUCUUGCCCAAGUUCACACAGUUAGGGUGCAGUGAAGUUAACUCGCACCUUGGCUUGUCUGGGUACAAAGCCUUCUGCCAAAAGGCCAGUCCCUUGUUCUGCUGACUCCCCUUCGUCUGGCAUAAGCAUGAUUCUGGUCACGAACAUCUGAAUUGGUUUGCUGCCUCUGAAGGUAAAGCAAGUCACGAAUUCCCAGGAGGCACCACCGUGUCACAAAUGAUACAGAGCCAGUGGUAGUGGUCCUGGAGAGGACAGAUGCGCUCCCUCGCAUUUCGCUCUGAAAAUUCUGAUGGAGAGGCCCGUCUGGUCACUGCCUGGAAUCACAGCAUAGAGGUGGUUCAAAUCAAUACGAGUGAGAGAGAAGGUGAAUCUUCUUGAUGGAGUUUGAUAAAGGGCUGAGUCACACUCUGCGCACAAACCAACCUCCCCAUCCACCCAGGUGGACCUUCUCACAAUUCUAAACGUGCUUUAAUACCCCAGCCUUUGAAAAGACCCUUGCCUCAUUGGGCAUUUUCCCGGAACACCUUCUGCUUUCCUUGCAGGAAUUUAAGUAACUUCCGCAGGCAGAUGGCUCUUCCUUCCUUCCUUCCUUCCUUCCUUCCUUCCUCUCUCUCUCUCUUUCUUUCUUUCCUUUUUCCUCUCUGGAAUGGCUCCUUUCACGCUGUCGGCCGCGCGUCAUCAGACCCGGCAUUGCCCCCGGAAGAGGAUCUGCUUCCCUAGGGCUGGGAGGACGUCACGUCUGUCUUGGAGACCCAGGAUCUGGAUUCAGAAUCAACGUCUGGCAUUAGAGCAGGCACGGGACUUAAAAAAAUAAAUGAACGAAAUGAUGAAUCGGGGGGAGUUUGGUCCUUCGGAGCUGGGCCUAGGGAUUUCCUGAGCCAAGAAUCCCUGCUGGUCCUCUGAGUGUAUUCAGAACCAAAGCACCAGUGCGAUGUGUCUUGCCAUUUGCGGUCGCCCCCCGAGUUCGUUGCAUCGUGGGAGAAUUAGCUCGGAGCCUAAGCCCCAGCUGAUGGGAGCAUGUCAUCCCUGCUCCAUUCAGAGGAUUCCCCCCAGUAAUUAUAGGGUAAAUGCCUUGUUAAAUCCUAAGCCCUCACAAUACGUCUCCCGACACGGAGUUCAUAUUCCUUGGGCAGUUGAUCGCACUUUCGAGUGGUACAUAUUUUAUAGAGAAGGGAGAGCUCUCCAAUUAAUAGUAAUUGUGAUCGAAGCGGUAAUGCUUGUCUCCAGCCUCAUUCCGCGAGAGGAGACUGGAAGGCCCAUCUUAAUUGCCACAAAGAGCUAUGUCUAUCCGCGGCAGGAUAUAAAUAAUAAAUUAGAGGAAGGGAGAGCACUGCAAUUCUUAGGGUCUUCGAGGAGGUACGGAUAUUUAUGUAGUGCUGAUUGCUAAAAAUCCUCUCCAAGUAAUUAUUAGUAAAAGCGGAAUGUCUACAUUUGUAAGGGAAUUUUAAUUAAGGGGAAGGUGACUGUCAUUACGGGGAAGAAGUAGCGUUUGGGGAUUAAAAUGCAGGUCCAGGGCCGGGCAUCCAGGUCUGAUUGGCUGUCGCUGCUGCCUCUUGGACAGUGGCAGCAAAGUCAGUUCCUCUGGGUUCAAUUUCCCUUGGUUUUUAAACCAAGAGAAAUAAAGCAGUUAAAAGUGCUUGAAGUUCUGGAGUUCCCUUUGUGGCUCAGCGGAAAUGAACCCAACUAGUAUCCAUGAGGAUGCUGUGUGGCUGUGGCUGUGGUGUAGGCGGCAGCUACAGCUCCAAUUCAGCUCCUAGCCUUGGAACGUCCAUAUGCUGUGAGUGCAACC